This 76-nucleotide transfer RNA is filed under the name Salmonella enterica subsp. enterica serovar Montevideo. Its description in RNAcentral is "tRNA-Asn". It matches the Rfam family "tRNA". Rfam says of the family: Transfer RNA (tRNA) molecules are approximately 80 nucleotides in length. The record is from RNAcentral. Lineage: Bacteria; Pseudomonadati; Pseudomonadota; Gammaproteobacteria; Enterobacterales; Enterobacteriaceae.
UCCUCUGUAGUUCAGUCGGUAGUACGGCGGACUGUUAAUCCGUAUGUCACUGGUUCGAGUCCAGUCAGAGGAGCCA